Oncorhynchus keta (chum salmon) is the source of this 430-nucleotide long non-coding RNA. RefSeq lists it as uncharacterized. NCBI's taxonomy places the organism in Eukaryota, Metazoa, Chordata, Actinopteri, Salmoniformes, Salmonidae. The transcript has 3 exons. The record is from RefSeq and is a predicted model, not a curated record.
GUUUUUGACGAAAUUGACGAAGUGUGUCAGUUUGUCACUUUCAUGAGGUUAGAGUAAUAACAUGUUCAACUACUUAGGACAUUGUCUCGAAUAUUGGUUGUGCCUUUUAGAUUUCGAGAAAAUUAACAACUAGAUACGUCUUUGCAGCGAACCUGUAUGAGAAUGAGAGUCUGAACGAGACAGAGUGGUCUAUCUAUCAGGACUGGCACGGCUGGCUCCACAAACAGUUUUUUUUAAAUGCAUCGAGCUGGACGGCAUCAUCUACCUUCAAGCCGCACCAGAGAGGUGCAUGGAGAGGCUACAUCUGAGAGGCAGAGAGGAGGAGCAGGGCAUUCCUCUGGAGUACCUGGAGAAACUCCACUUCAAACACGAGAGCUUGCUGCAGCACAAGACCAUGCGGCGAGAGAGGGAGGAAGGAAGGAAGUGUUGA